RNAcentral lists this ribosomal RNA (138 nucleotides) under uncultured eukaryote. Its description in RNAcentral is "partial 18S ribosomal RNA". It matches the Rfam family "Eukaryotic small subunit ribosomal RNA", at positions 1299 to 1458 of the family's 1831-position model. The record is from RNAcentral.
UGGUGGGUUGCCUUGUCAGGUUGAUUCCGGUAACGAACGAGACCUCAGCCUGCUAACUAGUCACGUGUGCUUCGGCACACGGCGGACUUCUUAGAGGGACUAUUGGCGACUAGCCAAUGGAAGCAUGAGGCAAUAACA